AACACUGCUAUGAAUAUUCAUUGAUAGGUUUUUGUGUGAACAUGUGUUUUUAAUUCUCCUAACUACAGGCUCAGAAGUAGGGUUUCUGGGUCAUAUGGCAACUCUAUGUUUACAUUCUGAGAAACUGUCAAAUUGUUUUUCUUUUUUUCUUUUUUCUUUUUUUUAUUAUUUUCUGCUGCCACCUCAUCUCCCCAAAUUGAUUUUCAAAGUGGCUGCACCAUUUUGCAAUUCCACCAGCAGUGUAUGAGGGUUCCAGUUUCUCCACACCCUCAGCAACACUUCAACACUUGCUUUUUUUUUUUUUUUUGAGAUGGGGUCUCGCUCUGUCGCUAGGCUGGAGUGCAGUGGCGUGAUCUCAGCUCACUGCGACCUCUGCCUCCUGGGUUCAAGAGAUUCUCGUGCCUCAGCCUCCUGAGUAGCUGGGACUACAGGCAGCUAUUCCCAACCCCAGAACCUUUGCUGUCUUGGAACAGAUCACCACUGCAAGAGGGGAAGUUGCUACUGUGAUGAAUUCUGCCAUGUGGUACCAGACUGCUACCCAGACCACAGUGUCCUCUGCAACCCUCGUAACUCACAUACAGGCCUGAUUCCACCUACAGCAAAGCUGGAUGCUAUGGUUGGCAGAGGCAAACCCUUUGCCUGCACUUCAGGCCAAAGCCGGGAUGUGGCCUAGAUGGUUCCUAAGGUCCCUGACAAUCCUGAGAUCUUGCAUCUUGUCUAUUUCAGGUCAAAGCUUCUCAGAUGACCAAGAUGGUGCUGCAGAUGGUGCUGAGGAUGGAGAACCCACCAAGCCC
This 794-nucleotide long non-coding RNA is filed under the name Pan troglodytes (chimpanzee). RNAcentral's name for it is "lincRNA". The record is from RNAcentral. Lineage: Eukaryota; Metazoa; Chordata; Mammalia; Primates; Hominidae.